This 497-nucleotide ribosomal RNA is filed under the name uncultured bacterium. Its description in RNAcentral is "partial 16S ribosomal RNA". It matches the Rfam family "Bacterial small subunit ribosomal RNA", at positions 28 to 507 of the family's 1533-position model. The record is from RNAcentral.
GACGAACGCUGGCGGCGUGCCUAAUACAUGCAAGUUGAGCGAUGAAGAUUGGUGCUUGCACCAAUUUGCAGAGCAGCGAACGGGUGAGUAACGCGUGGGGAAUCUGCCUUUGAGCGGGGGACAACAUUUGGAAACGAAUGCUAAUACCGCAUAACAACUUUAAACAUAAGUUUUAAGUUUGAAAGAUGCAAUUGCAUCACUCAAAGAUGAUCCCGCGUUGUAUUAGCUAGUUGGUGAGGUAAAGGCUCACCAAGGCGAUGAUACAUAGCCGACCUGAGAGGGUGAUCGGCCACAUUGGGACUGAGACACGGCCCAAACUCCUACGGGAGGCAGCAGUAGGGAAUCUUCGGCAAUGGACGAAGGUCUGACCGAGCAACGCCGCGUGAGUGAAGAAGGUUGUCGGAUCGUAAAACUCUGUUGGUAGAGAAGAACGUUGGUGAGAGUGGAAAGCUCAUCAAGUGACGGUAACUACCCAGAAAGGGACGGCUAACUACGUG